Nelumbo nucifera (sacred lotus) is the source of this 2190-nucleotide non-coding RNA. Lineage: Eukaryota; Viridiplantae; Streptophyta; Magnoliopsida; Proteales; Nelumbonaceae. The record is from RefSeq and is a predicted model, not a curated record.
UGGGGAGAAGGCGGUCAUAAAAAUUAGGGGGUGUUUGGUCCUCUUUCUACCAUGAAAUUGAUUACAGAGAACAAUAGAAAUACUUCUUCGUUUGUUGGUUUCUGCACCAGGAUUCUUGGUGGGAGAUCAUUUUCGUUGCAAAUGGAGAACUUGAUGAAAAUUUCUUUUCUUAUUGUGAUGGGUUCGUGAUUUAGUUUGGUUUUGAGAGUUGCUUACGUGAUUAAGGGGUACUUAGGAGAUUUGGUUGGUUUGAAUACGGGGAUUGAACUACAGUGUGAUGUUAAUGAAGGUUUGCUUAGCGAGGAGAAAAAUUCACGGUUUCAACAUGCAUUUCGUGAAGAUGUUUCGGAAAUAGGGAAAUUGUGAUUGCUGCUUCAAACCAACAUACUAAUCCUAAAUUCCUAUAGAGUUGCGAGGAAUUCAAGAUUCAGCUAAUACAUCCUUUUCGAGCAACGCAACUGACUUUGGUUGAGACUGUCAAUACAAGUUUCAUAUGAAUUGAAGGGUUCUGAAUGUAUUUGUAAUUGGGGGUAUGUUCCAUCCUUUCGAGUUGGGCGUGAGCUGACCGUGGACUGGGUUGGGCUGGUCUCAACAGAUCUCUGCUGCAAUCAAUCUAGUUGGGGUCAUUGGGAACUUAUUCACCUUUAUUGAGCUGGCUCCACUGAAAAUAAUAUUGAAAGGCAACCAAGUGGAAGGAAAAGGCAAGAAAGCCGAUGAUGUUUUAGAGGAAUGUUUGGGUAUAUAUUUUCCUCCACGUAGUUAAGUUCAUUGCAGGUGAUGGUUGAUGGUAUUGAAGGUGAUUGGAUGUAUUUAAGUUGGAAAUAGUGGGUGGAGUACCUUGAUCCUAGCUCCUUUUCUAAGUGAUACGUGCCCUACCUUCUUAAACCUAUAAAUCUACCAUUUUCAGUGCAAAAACAUGUUUCAAUUUAGCCUACAAGAAGUCCUAAUUACAACUUAACACCUAAUCUAAAAUCAACUCCAUAUCACCCAAGGUUUUAGUGCCAAGAACCUACCCAAUCAACAUAGAAACUAACCUAAAACCAAUAACUUGGUUAUAUCAUAAAAAUCGUCCUAAUUCAUAUUUUGAGGCACCCCCAAUUCAUCCGUUACAAGGCCUAAAUCUACUCCUACCAGCCCAAGACCUAAACCAAAAGUUCAUUCGCUUAACCCAUACUGUUAGUGCCAUGAAUUCCAUGAUCAUAAUAGUCUGGUAUCCAAAGGUGUCUGAAGAGAAUGGUGGUGAAGAGAGGAGAAAAGGGAGAAAUAUGGUUGUAGAAAAACCCUAUCAGCAAUUGUCCAGUUUCUUCCAAGUUAUGGCUGGUCAAUCUGAAAAUUCUUGACUCAAAGGAGGAAAGUAUCUUGAACCUUACUACAUCUACCAUUGUUUUUACUUCAGAGAUAUUCUCAAAAAUAAAAAAAAUUGUACUAAUAUACCACUAAUUGGACCAUUCAUACAUCCUGCAUCUUUGUCCUGACUUCACUUACUAUCCUUAUGAAUUUGGAGAUAUCAUCCUUUAGGGACCGUAUGCCGACGUAAUGGGAGUUGUUGCCCUGUGGUUCACCUAAGUACGAAACACAAAAAGAAAAAAAAAAGACAAAUCAAACCGUAAAUUUUGGGCAUCUGAAACUAAAACUUAUUACUCUAUUAUACAAUUAUUCAAGAAACUGGUUCUGACAAUGGAUCCGUUGCGUUCAAGCGAGGCCACCAGUUUUUGUCGUCCAUUUAAGAGGGGAGCUCUUCUAGAAAGUGAAACUCUGACAAUCUGGAACCUGGCUUAAAAACCCCGAGAAUCCAUUUUUGAUGAAAUCGAUCAAAUAAUGUCAAGCACCGAUGACGGAAAUCCUCAGGUAAUUGAGAUCAAUGACUGUAAUCAGGAACGACCCGAAGAUCACAGGGGUUUAAUGCUUGACAUUGUCUUGGCGCCACAACACUGAAGAUUAUCGUCGAAUUUGAACCAACAAAGCCAGAAGGAUUGUGUGGUUUUCGAAGGUUCAGAGAGUGGCGGUGAAGAGAGGAGAAAAGAAAAGGGAGAAAUAUGUAGAGGUGUAAAGUGGGCCGUGCCGGGCCGGCGUGGGCGGCCCUUGGUGAAAAAUUUGAGGGUUGGCCUGGCAUGGUUCACAGCCCGGGCCCAUGUGGGCCUGUGCCAUGCCGUGCCGUGCCACGGGCUGGGCUGGCCUGUGGGCCGAGCC